UCUCCCUCAUCCUCACCUCAAAUUCUUCCUCCACAAACCGUUCUAUGAUUUCUUCUUAUUCACAGUGUUCUUUCAUGCUCGCCCAUGAAUCAGUGCUUCCAUCUUAAGCAUCCAGCAAGGCAUCUCUGCUCUCUGCUCUUUUCAUCUCUUCCAUCUCUCUCUCACUAUUGCUUCUGCUCCUUCCCUUCUCUUCUUUCAAGGUUUUAUUUCGUAGAUCCCCAUUGCUGAUAAUCUUUUAUGCAAGUCUGUGUGAACGGUGUGGAGAUAUUGUGAUCACACAGGCAUCGAAGCAGCAACAGCCCCGGCCACGAUGAGGAUUCUGACCAUGCUCUUGCCACAAUACUUAAAACUCAGAGACGACCCCCCCUAAAAAAAAAAAAAAAAGGCCCCCACCUUCUGACUAGUAUAUUUCUCUGCUCCAUGGGGAGUGUUAGGUUUAAAAGAUCUGUUGUCCAUAUUGGACAAGCACUACUCCCGACAAAAUCGAAGUUCUCAACGGGCGUCUUCUCUUUCCAGGAAAUUUGAGCAUGACAAGAAGCAAUCGAAUCUGGGUUACACGUUUGUGGAUUACACAUCAGCAAGAGAUGCGUUUAUGUUUCCAGCAAUUCAACGGGCAGGAAUGGCCUGGUAACAAGAACUGGAAGCGUAGGAGGUCGGCUUAAACAUGCCGUGCUGGGUGCCAGGAAUAAUAGUGGAAAUCCUCUUCGAUGGGCAUAGUAGAAAAUUUUGUUGCUAUUUUCUUUCGGGUUAUCAUGUGUAAUGUUCAGCUCACAUGCGAAGAGGAUGCCAAAAGAAUCGAAUGGGAUUUAAGCACAUAUAUUGAGGGAGGUCCUUUGGAGAGGGGCUGAGGUUGAGUCCUGUUCACCAAAGUGUUUAUGAACUACGACAGUACCAAUACCAAGAGUCAAAAUAUGUAUGGACCCAGUUCUGGCCCUUUCACUAUUACAGUUCUCCUCUGUAUCGUUCACUUUAAAAACACUUUCAUAAUUUGUACAGCUACGAAUACGCUACUUUGACUCAUUUCCCUAUCUUUGAUAAGGAUGUUUAACAUUUUGCUAUGCCUCCCCACGUGACAGCAUUGCCUCAUGUAAGAUACACACUUGGUUAUCUCUUCUGCUUAUACAGUCUUUGAUACCUAA
Neltuma alba is the source of this 1139-nucleotide long non-coding RNA. RefSeq lists it as uncharacterized. The record is from RefSeq and is a predicted model, not a curated record. Lineage: Eukaryota; Viridiplantae; Streptophyta; Magnoliopsida; Fabales; Fabaceae. The transcript is spliced from 4 exons.